UCUCCCAGCCUCUCCCAGCUCUCCCAGCCUUUCCCAGCAAUCCCAGCCUCUGUCAGCUCUCCCAGCCUCUCCCAGCAAUCCCAGCCUCUCCCAGCCUCCAGCCCUGCCAGGAUGCUCACUCUCAACACUGCCCUGCUGGGUGUCCUAGAGUGCCCAAGGCCUAUGCCCCUGCCACCAGCCAUUCUUGUGCCGCUUCCCCCUUUUUGAGUCCAUUGCUGCAGCUAAGACCUGGGCUCAGCACUCUGAGAAAGGUUUGCUAUUCCAAAGACAGCCAAAAACAUUUCACAGGCAUUUUCUAACUGAACCACCCUGAGAGGAAGCCAUCACAUUCUCCACAGCACGUGUGAGGAAACUGAAGACCUGCCUGGUCAAGUAGCUUGCCAGUGGUCACACAGCAAGUGAGUGAGAAAGCACAGCCACACAACCACACUCCAGGGUGUGUGUGUGUGUGUGUGUGUGUGUGUGGUGUAUUUUCCCUGAGAUUCACAACAGCUUCCAUUCAAACUGCUCCAGAUCUGUAAUUACAGGCUUCCAGUAAUCUUAAUAUCUUUCUCUUUAGUAAAGUUAAAUGUAGGUGAAUUUAAGCUAAAUUUAUGAAUAGAACUUCAACAAAAAUGCUUAGAACAAGUAAAGCUCCAAAGACUCAGUGAAGCCUGUUAUCUUUCCUAACCAAUUCUACAUUGUUCUCUUCACCAUGUAUCCUGACCUCCAUCACCACCCUGUGUGAGAAAGGUGUGACUGCAUCCAUUGCACUGGUUCUGCAAAUCGCAUGAGGGAGCAGGACAGACCUGAGACCUGCACCCAGGGCAAAGUGUGGGCCACACACUGGGCUCCAUGCUUUCCAUGUUCUCUGCUUGCUCAAUCCUGGAAGCAACCAUGUAGGGUAAGCAGUGCCAUCCUCUCCGUUUUACAGAAGCACAGAGCAGUAAAAUGACUGGCCCAAGAUCACAUGGCUUGUAAGCGGCAGAACUCCAAUCGCAACCCAGGAAGUCUGGCUCCAGAGCCCAUGCUUAUCCCUGACAUUCUGAAUUUAUUGUAAAUCUUGAUGUCUUUCAGCUUCAGCCAGAAAACAUUCUCCUUUCCUUUUUCCUUGAGACAGAAAAAAAUCCUACAUCUUCCAGCAAUGGCUCCAGCACAGUCCUCUACCACCUGCUGGGGAGAAUCAGCCUUCAUGUGUGGACAGCAUCUCCACAUGAAACCCACUUGCAUCUCAUUCAUCCUCACGACAGCCCUAUGUGUUUGGUGUUGUUUCUCCACUUGACUGAGCAGGAAACUGAGGUUCAGAGAGGUUAAGCUACUUGCCCAAGGUCCCACAGCUCACAAUCUGUGGAUCAAGCCCUUGAACCCAGGCCCCCCUAGACUGGGCUCCAAAGCCGAUGAUCUCUUCUCUUUACUCAGUGGGAGGUUUUAAAUCAGAGCAUUUAAAACACAGAAACAACAGACAAUCCUUUAUAAUAGAAGAGUACAUCAAAUAGAACCACACUAGUGUCACACAGACAGCCUCCUCAUUUUCCCAUAACCAUAUGCCUGUUGGCGAGGCUCGCUCUGCUUGGUUUAAAGCAGUGCUUACAAACUCAAAUGCCCACAGGGACCAGCAGGCAAUGAAAGGAGUGGCACCGGCCUGGGGUUUUACAGUAAUUGUAACAGCCACGGUAGGCCUGCUGCACACUGGAGAAUGCCCACCCACCUGUCUUAGGGGAGGCAGCCUUGACUCUGCUCUAAGCCAUUGUUGCCAUGCAGGGAGGCAGGAUGGGCAUUGCCAACUCAUCCUACUUUUCAAAAGAAGCCAGGAAUCCAGAUUUUUAUGUAGAAUCUCUUAAUUUUUAAAUGAUGGAAACUAAUUCAAAUGUUUCUUUAACCACUAUUUAAGCCAAACAAAACACAUCGUGUAGCUGGAUUCAGCUUAAAGGGUGUCAUUCUGUGACAUCCGGUUUUAAAGUUUAUAGAGGAUAUAAAGUGUAGUUCAUUUAAAGAAAGUCCAAUUUAGUGUAAAAUUAUCAAUUUAGUGUAAAAAUGUUCAAAUGUUUCUCUAAACACAGUAUAAGCCAAACAAAACAUAUCUGGUUGCUAGAUUCAGCUUGCGGGGUACCAUUUUGUGAUGUCCAGUGUUAAACUUUACAGAGGAUAGAAAUGUAGUUCACUUCGAGAAAGGUCAAUUUAGUACGAAAAUUAUCUGUGGAAAUCAAGACAAGCCUCUGAUACACAUGCCAAUUUGUUAAUGAGAGUAUUUCUCCCAGCAGCACUUGCUCUGAAGGAACACUUGGUUCAUCAGAAGAAAAAAAGCCCAUUGUUGUCACCAUCUCAAAUCUGUUGGGUAGAUACCACAGCCGGGUCUUCGCAUGAUCCCCCUGUCUGCAGUUAGCAGAGCUGUCAUGCUGUGUGGCCGUGGAAUGAUCUCCAGAUUUCAUGUGAUGCCAAUGAAGUACAGGAAAAACUGGACUCCCAGAAACCACCACAAAGUAAUCACUCUCCCAUCUCUGCUUGGUACCUUUGGUGGCCAGAGGACCUUCCUCAGGGAUCUGGUCUUGAACGUGGCUGCAGAGAUUCUUCCACAAGCACAUCUCAGGCAGCCAAAAAGAUUGUGUUGAAUUUUAUGUUCUGUGGGUUUCUUUCCAAAAUAAUAGAUAUGGUGAGUAUAUUGGAUACGCUUUCUCAAUCCAUGGUCUUUCUCCCAACCCCAUAUUCUAAUACUCCUCCAGGUGGUAUGGUCCUGUAGCAUGUGAUACGUUUAACACCUCUUAAGUUCUGAUUCCCCUUUCUUCUGGUAAUAUAUCCCAAUUUUCCUUUGCGGAACAGCCAUUUAUCCAUUUAAUGCAGUCUUAGAAGAACUUUCAAUGACUGUUCCUGCCUUUCCUAGCCAAAGGGUGAGCACACAAGCCACCAGCCCAAGCAGAUGCUCUCUCCCUGGAAGGUGACUUUUGAGCACUAUGUCCCAUGGCCUAAGCAUGGUUCUUAAAGAUGAUGCCUUAAGGAUACAGUCCAUUAGUUCCUGCUACCCAGAUCCCAGAAGCUACCCUGUUCCCUGUCCUUUUGGAGGUUAGUUAUUCAGCUUAUCCUUUAGUUCUCCAAGUUGAAUAGCCUCUCAAUAAAUUCCUGUUUUGCUUAAGAUAGUCAAGUUGGAUUCUGUUGCUAACAGCCAAAGAACUCUAAUUGAUACAUAACUCCCCCUACUAAGAAUAAUUGACCUGGAUUAUAUUUGAAGUCUCUUUUUACCUUCAACAAUCUGUGAUUCCAGUAACCUCCAAUAACAUAAAUUACAGGACAUCUAAAUCAAGAUUUAGGAGAAGAAAAAGAAAAACCCCAAACUCACAGAUACAAGAGAUUAAAAAUUUUGUAGUAGAUUGAAUAACUGUCUAACAAAUAUUCACUUCCUCCCCCUCAAACUUGGUGACAGACAUAUGCUUCCCUAGCCUAUUUGUGUUGUGCUUUACCAUGUGACUUACUUUAGCCAAUGGAAUGUGUGAGAAUGUGCCAUCUUUGAGCCUAGGCCUUAAGAGUUCUGUGUUUCUGCUCACCACUAGGAGUUUGCAAUCUCCCCCGUGAGAAGAAUAUGUUUUGGGAAGAAUGGGAGUCAUAUGGAAGUGACUUGAACCCAACUCUCAGCCUGGAGUCAGGCUCAGUCUAGAGAAGCUGAUCCCUAGACAACCUGCAGAUACAUGAGUAAGAAAUAAAGACCUGUCAUGAAGUUUUAA
This 3692-nucleotide long non-coding RNA is filed under the name Homo sapiens (human). RNAcentral's name for it is "HSALNT0382574". The record is from RNAcentral. Lineage: Eukaryota; Metazoa; Chordata; Mammalia; Primates; Hominidae.